UGGUUUGUUUCAUCGGGGUGGGGAUACAAAACUCUAAAUUAAAAUGUGCACCUGCCGCCAAACUGAACUGCAGCCUCAUACGUGAAUUCGUGUUGACGUCCUAGUCGUUCGAGGCAACACUCAUAUCUCGGAGGGCUACAGAACACAUAAUCGGCGUCCUUUAUUCAACUAAGCAGAUCAGGGAUUGACUCCUGCCCGAUACCCGGAUAUACAAGCAGGCACGACCUGCUGGAGACAGGUCAACGCUGCACAUUUCAACAGGUAUGCGACGGGCCCAACAUCAGCUGUAUUUUCUGAGGAGGCUGUUUGGCAGUUUGGCAUGUCGCCUCCCGGCUGUAUCACUGUCUGGCAUGGUAGCACUUCUGCUUUGGACUACAAACGUCUGCAGAGAGUGGUAGAGACUGCUGAGAAGAUCACCAGGACUCCACUGCCCUCUCUGCACAGUUUCUAGCACUGCAGAGUCCACAGGAGAGCUGCGUCUAUUUUCAAAGACCCCACCCACCCCUAGCACAGACUAUUCACUCUUCUACCCUCAGGUGGAGGUACAGAAGUGUUAAAUCCAAGACCACCAGACUAAAGAACGUUUAAUCUUCCUCAUAACUGUCCCGACUUUUUACAUUUUGCACAUGCAUAAAAGCACAAAGUUCAGAUUUGCACUAUUUUGUUAUUAUUGUUGCUGCUUUUUCUUAUUUAUGCCAUGUAAAAGUGCUUUACUUUGUAUAUUGUUUUUUUGUUGUAUAUAUUUCUUUAUUACAUAGUUGGCAUUCUGUAGACAGCAAAGGAAGAAUGUCAUUGUACAGAGGAACAUGUUUCUUUCCUGUGCAUAUGACAAUAAACACUUGAAUCUUGAAACUUAUUGUCAUCAACUUGGCAGAUCAAAGACAGAAUGAGAAGCUGA
Molecule: long non-coding RNA, 898 nt
Organism: Acanthopagrus latus (yellowfin seabream)
Lineage: Eukaryota; Metazoa; Chordata; Actinopteri; Spariformes; Sparidae
Exons: 3
Source: RefSeq, a predicted model, not a curated record